This 28-nucleotide non-coding RNA is filed under the name Rattus norvegicus (Norway rat). The record is from RNAcentral. Lineage: Eukaryota; Metazoa; Chordata; Mammalia; Rodentia; Muridae.
UGGGCUUUUAUGAGAACAGUUACAGGGC